RNAcentral lists this transfer RNA (65 nucleotides) under Gossypium darwinii. RNAcentral describes it as "tRNA-Val". It matches the Rfam family "tRNA". Rfam says of the family: Transfer RNA (tRNA) molecules are approximately 80 nucleotides in length. Their secondary structure includes four short double-helical elements and three loops (D, anti-codon, and T loops). Lineage: Eukaryota; Viridiplantae; Streptophyta; Magnoliopsida; Malvales; Malvaceae. The record is from RNAcentral.
AGGGCUAUAGCUCAGUUGGUAGAGCACCACCGAGAAGGUCUACGGUUCGAGUCCGUAUAGCCCUA